CAAGAAAUCUGUCCACAACGGGUGACUUUACGCCUACCGAUUUUGCUGGGCAUCAGACAUUAAAGAAUAGGGGGCCCUGAAGUUUUAUGAGAAUCUACUCAGAAAGUUCCGUGAGUAAAAAGAAGAUAUCAUAACGCACAGAAUUCGGGGGUGGGGGGAGGGGUUCCAAGAAGGAAGAGAUCAGUGAGGGACAAAAGUCAGAGGGCAGUUUCCAGGUGGAAAAACAGCAGCAGGCUCUGAAUUACACAGAAGGAUUUUGCAGGUGGAGAAGAGGAAGAAGGGACUAUCCGACUGAGACACACAGCAGAGGAGAGUGCACCAGGGAGGGAGGAAGUGGACGCUGGCAGCACAGUCAUCGGCCGACUGCGGCCCGGUCUGAGCGCAGGACUCUGGGGAACAACGCCAAGCGACAGCCCCAGAAAGCAGGCACAUUUAAUCAACAGGAAAUCUCCGCAUAAAACGGAUCUGAAAAUAGCAGAGUGGCUCGAAUGGAAACAAAAGAGGCUAAUGGCAGAGAAACCCAGACUGAAACUGGGAACGUGUGUCGGCAUGAUCACCAAGAGAAGGGGGAACAGUAGCAACACCUGCUAUUCUGAUCACUAACCUGCAUCUCAGUCAAUAUCCCUCCCUCGCCCGUUAAGGAUCGUAAGACCAAGAGCAAAAUCAAAGUGGAAGAAUUCAGGCAACAUAACGGGAUCCAGACAAAGCCGCAAAGUCCAGCUUUCAGCCAUACAGUGUCCUAACCCCGGCCCUGCUUAACAACCAGCAACUCACCCAUUCAUCAGCUUCUACCACUAGACUUUUUGCUCAAAUAAAAUACCAUCUUCCUUAUUUUCUACAUGCACA
Callorhinus ursinus (northern fur seal) is the source of this 846-nucleotide long non-coding RNA. RefSeq lists it as uncharacterized. Lineage: Eukaryota; Metazoa; Chordata; Mammalia; Carnivora; Otariidae. The record is from RefSeq and is a predicted model, not a curated record.